GCAUAACCACCUUCCCGUACAACUUACACUUAAUAAAGGGAAAAUAACAAGAGGGAAACAGCGUGGCAAAUUCUAUUUAUACUAAACGCAUCGUUUAACUUAUCCCCCACUACGCCCCGUUUAGUUGUUCUAUUAAAACUCCUUGUUUUAUUUAAAAGACUAGUUGUUUCGACUAAUUUCUUCUUUUCACAUUCUCUGAUUACUUUCUAGCCCGUAACAAUACUCCCCCUAAAAAUAAGAUCCUUGUCCUCAAGGAUGGAAAUGAAGAAAUUUAGAUUGAAUCAUGGCUAGCGACUCCCACGUCGCAUCUUCCGAAAACGAAUUAAUCCAUUCAACUAACACUUCUGUAACAACUUGGUUUCCUUUCUUAACAAUCCUUCUGUCCACAAUUCGGGUUGGUUCCUUCUGCAAUGCACCAUGAACAUCCACCAGUGGCAGUUGAGGUUGAAUAGGUGCCGAGCCAAAAUGUUUUUUUCAGAUGCGAAACAUGAAAGGUUGGAUGAAUACGAGACCCUUGAGAGAGCUGGAGAGUGUAUGCCACAUUUCCC
RNAcentral lists this long non-coding RNA (548 nucleotides) under Gossypium barbadense (sea-island cotton). RNAcentral's name for it is "long non-coding RNA (GBAR_LNC006147)". The record is from RNAcentral. Lineage: Eukaryota; Viridiplantae; Streptophyta; Magnoliopsida; Malvales; Malvaceae.